Molecule: ribosomal RNA, 253 nt
Filed under: uncultured bacterium
Lineage: Bacteria
Description: partial 16S ribosomal RNA
Rfam family: Bacterial small subunit ribosomal RNA
Source: RNAcentral
UACGUAGGGUGCGAUCGUUAAUCGGAAUUACUGGGCGUAAAGUGUGCGCAGGCGGCAGAGCAAGUCGAGUGUGAAAGCCCCGGGCUUAACUUGGGAAUUGCGCUCGAAACUACUUUGCUGGAGUGUGGCAGAGGAAGGUGGAAUUCCACGUGUAGCGGUGAAAUGCGUAGAGAUGUGGAGGAACACCAAUGGCGAAGGCAGCCUUCUGGGCCAACACUGACGCUCAUGCACGAAAGCGUGGGGAGCAAACAGG